Molecule: unclassified non-coding RNA, 462 nt
Filed under: Hevea brasiliensis (rubber tree)
Lineage: Eukaryota; Viridiplantae; Streptophyta; Magnoliopsida; Malpighiales; Euphorbiaceae
Source: RNAcentral
GCGCUGCCAAAAGUACUAUGAAGCUGGUGCUAGAUUCGCCAAAUGGCGUGCCGUGCUCAAGAUCGGUCCCACCGAACCCUCGCAAUUGUCCAUCAACGAGAAUGCUUAUGGAUUGGCUCGAUAUGCUGCUAUCUGCCAGGAGAAUGGUCUUGUUCCCAUUGUUGAGCCUGAGAUUCUUGUUGAUGGUACUCACAGCAUUGACAAAUGCGCUGAGGUGACCGAGCGGGUUCUUGCUGCAUGCUACAAGGCCCUCAACGAUCACCACGUCCUCCUCGAAGGAACUCUAUUGAAGCCUAACAUGGUUACCCCUGGAUCUGAAGCUGCCAAGGUUGCUCCAGAAGUGGUUGCUGAGUACACCGUCCGGGCUCUAGAACGUACAGUCCCUGCUGCGGUUCCUGCCAUCGUUUUCUUGUCAGGCGGGCAGAGCGAGGAGGAGGCAACCCUCAACCUCAAUGCCAUGAA